Molecule: ribosomal RNA, 725 nt
Filed under: uncultured bacterium
Lineage: Bacteria
Description: bacterial SSU rRNA
Rfam family: Bacterial small subunit ribosomal RNA
Source: RNAcentral
AGUACGAGGGGCAUCGAGGAAGAAAGCUUGUUUUCUUUGCCGGCGACCGGCGCACGGGUGAGUAACACGUAUCCAACCUGCCCUUUACACGGGGAUAGCCUUUCGAAAGAAAGAUUAAUACCCGAUGCCAUAAUGAUUCCGCAUGGUUUCAUUAUUAAAGGAUUCCGGUAAAGGAUGGGGAUGCGUUCCAUUAGGUUGUUGGUGAGGUAACGGCUCACCAAGCCUUCGAUGGAUAGGGGUUCUGAGAGGAAGGUCCCCCACAUUGGAACUGAGACACGGUCCAAACUCCUACGGGAGGCAGCAGUGAGGAAUAUUGGUCAAUGGGCGCUAGCCUGAACCAGCCAAGUAGCGUGAAGGAUGAAGGCUCUAUGGGUCGUAAACUUCUUUUAUAUAAGAAUAAAGUGCAGUAUGUAUACUGUUUUGUAUGUAUUAUAUGAAUAAGGAUCGGCUAACUCCGUGCCAGCAGCCGCGGUAAUACGGAGGAUCCGAGCGUUAUCCGGAUUUAUUGGGUUUAAAGGGAGCGUAGGUGGACUGGUAAGUCAGUUGUGAAAGUUUGCGGCUCAACCGUAAAAUUGCAGUUGAUACUGUCAGUCUUGAGUACAGUAGAGGUGGGCGGAAUUCGUGGUGUAGCGGUGAAAUGCUUAGAUAUCACGAAGAACUCCGAUUGCGAAGGCAGCUCACUGGACUGCAACUGACACUGAUGCUCGAAAGUGUGGGUAUCAAAC